Piliocolobus tephrosceles (Ugandan red Colobus) is the source of this 281-nucleotide unclassified non-coding RNA. Its record names the gene 7SK. It matches the Rfam family "7SK RNA". Rfam says of the family: 7SK was discovered as an abundant small nuclear RNA in the mid-70s but a possible function has only recently been suggested. Two independent studies have found that 7SK RNA binds the CDK9/cyclin T complex (known as elongation factor P-TEFb). P-TEFb activates transcription by phosphorylating the C-terminal domain of RNA polymerase II. NCBI's taxonomy places the organism in Eukaryota, Metazoa, Chordata, Mammalia, Primates, Cercopithecidae. The record is from Ensembl.
UGAUGUGAGGACGGUCAGGCUGUGACGCCUGUCACCCCACUGGUCACCAGGGUUGAUUCGGCUGAUGUGGCUGGCUCAAAGGCAGGUGUCCCCUCCUUCCCCACCAUUCCCUGUGCGUCCCUCUGAAGCUGUGUGCUCCGUCAAAGAGGAUGGAGGAUCGGGCUUCGAGUAGCUGUGCUCCUCUGCCAGGACCUCCAAACAAGCUCUCAGGAAAGAAUGGGGUCUCAGUCCUAUUGCAGGUCUGUACACAUGGAUGUGUGUGCCUCACACGGCCGCACCUU